GUUCCAGGAGCACGGUGGUUGUGCGUCGGAUUGCAAUUCAAACACUGAAGAUCCGCAGGUCAUGUGUUCGACUCACAUCUGGAACU
Naganishia vaughanmartiniae is the source of this 86-nucleotide non-coding RNA. The record is from the annotation of a GenBank genome assembly. Lineage: Eukaryota; Fungi; Basidiomycota; Tremellomycetes; Filobasidiales; Filobasidiaceae.